AUUGAACGCUGGCGGCAGGCCUAACACAUGCAAGUCGAACGGUAACAGGAAGACGCUUGCUUCUUUGCUGACGAGUGGCGGACGGGUGAGUAAUGUCUGGGCAACUGCCUGAUGGAGGGGGAUAACUACUGGAAACGGUAGCUACUACCGCAUAACGUCGCAAGACCAAUGAGGGGGAUCUUCGGGCCGUUUGCCGUCGGAUGUGCCCAGAUGGGAUUAGCUAGUAGGUGGGGUAACGGCUCACCUAGGCGACGAUCCCUAGCUGGUCUGAGAGGAUGAGCAGCCACACUGGAACUGAGACACGGUCCAGACUCCUACGGGAGGCAGCAGUGGGGAAUAUUGCACAAUGGGCGCAAGCCUGAUGCAGCCAUGCCGCGUGUAUGAAGAAGGCCUUCGGGUUGUAAAAUACUUUCAGCGGGGAGGAAGGGAGUAAAGUUAAUACCUUUGCUCAUUGACGUUACCCGCAGAAGAAGCACCGGCUAACUCCGUG
Molecule: ribosomal RNA, 490 nt
Filed under: uncultured bacterium
Lineage: Bacteria
Description: partial 16S ribosomal RNA
Rfam family: Bacterial small subunit ribosomal RNA
Source: RNAcentral